GACGAACGCUGGCGGCGUGCUUAACACAUGCAAGUCGAGCGAAGAGUUUCUGGUGCUUGCACCUGCAAAACUUAGCGGCGAAUGGGUGAGUAAUACGUAAACAACCUGCGUCAUAGACUUGACCUACUAUUGGUAACGAUAACAACUACUGGAUAACAGCACUACAUGGAUGGUUGAGGUUAAAAAGUUGGUUUUGCUAACACUUCGAGAUGGCUUUGCGGUGCAUUAGCUAGUUGGCGGGGUAAGGGCCUAACAAGGCGACGAUGCGUAGCCGACCUGAGAGGGUGAUCGGCCACACUGGGACUGAGACACGGCCCAGGCUCCUACGGGAGGCAGCAGUAGGGAAUCUUCCGCAAUGGGCGAAAGCCUGACGGAGCAACGCCGCGUGAGUGAAGAAGGAUUUCGGUUCGUAAAGCUCUGUUGUUAGGGAAGAAUGAUUGUGUAGUGUCUAUACACAGUAGAGACGGUACCUAGCCAGAAAGCCACGGCUAACUACGUG
RNAcentral lists this ribosomal RNA (499 nucleotides) under uncultured bacterium. RNAcentral's name for it is "partial 16S ribosomal RNA". It matches the Rfam family "Bacterial small subunit ribosomal RNA", at positions 28 to 507 of the family's 1533-position model. The record is from RNAcentral.